This 496-nucleotide ribosomal RNA is filed under the name uncultured bacterium. RNAcentral describes it as "partial 16S ribosomal RNA". It matches the Rfam family "Bacterial small subunit ribosomal RNA", at positions 29 to 523 of the family's 1533-position model. The record is from RNAcentral.
AUGAACGCUAGCGGGAGGCCUAACACAUGCAAGCCGAGCGGUAGAAAGUGGCUUGCUACUUUUGAGAGCGGCGUACGGGUGCGUAACACGUGUGCAACCUGCCUUUAUCUGGAGAAUAGCCUUUCGAAAGGAAGAUUAAUGCUCCAUAACAUAUUGAAUGGCAUCCUUUAAUAUUGAAAGCUCCGGCGGAUAGAGAUGGGCACGCGCAAGAUUAGUUAGUUGGUGAGGUAACGGCUCACCAAGGCGAUGAUCUUUAGGGGGCCUGAGAGGGGGAUCCCCCACACUGGUACUGAGACACGGACCAGACUCCUACGGGAGGCAGCAGUGAGGAAUAUUGGACAAUGGGUGAAAGCCUGAUCCAGCCAUCCCGCGUGAAGGAUGACGGCCCUAUGGGUUGUAAACUUCUUUUGUAUAGGGAUAAACCUACCCUCGUGAGGGUAGCUGAAGGUACUAUACGAAUAAGCACCGGCUAACUCCGUGCCAGCAGCCGCCGUAA